CAAGACUCCUGACAAUUGCACUGUCAUUUUCCCCAAGUACUACUGAAGUGGAUUGCUGUGGACGUUCGGGUGAAGUUGUGCAGGGCAGCAUUAGAGAGCGAGUGACUGGUACUGCUGAUGAUUUCUGCUGUCAGGAUGCUCUUCCACGUAUCCAUGGACUAAAGAAUGUAGCACAAUUGAGCACUGCUAGAAGUUUAUAAGAUGAAUAGAGAACACUGAGGUUUUCUUCAAGGAAGGCUGCACAACCUCUUAAUGAACGUGAAGAAAGAGAUACUGGUCUAAUCAUCUCUCCAUUGUCAGACCACCGGCGUCCGGGAUAAAGAGAAGUCCGCAUUCCUCGAUAUGUGCCCG
Molecule: long non-coding RNA, 351 nt
Filed under: Fukomys damarensis (Damara mole-rat)
Lineage: Eukaryota; Metazoa; Chordata; Mammalia; Rodentia; Bathyergidae
Description: lncRNA (ENSFDAG00000023817.1)
Source: RNAcentral